RNAcentral lists this ribosomal RNA (1863 nucleotides) under Escherichia coli. RNAcentral's name for it is "partial 23S ribosomal RNA". It matches the Rfam family "Bacterial large subunit ribosomal RNA", at positions 1 to 1890 of the family's 2925-position model. The record is from RNAcentral. Lineage: Bacteria; Pseudomonadati; Pseudomonadota; Gammaproteobacteria; Enterobacterales; Enterobacteriaceae.
GUUAAGCGACUAAGCGUACACGGUGGAUGCCCUGGCAGUCAGAGGCGAUGAAGGACGUGCUAAUCUGCGAUAAGCGUCGGUAAGGUGAUAUGAACCGUUAUAACCGGCGAUUUCCGAAUGGGGAAACCCAGUGUGUUUCGACACACUAUCAUUAACUGAAUCCAUAGGUUAAUGAGGCGAACCGGGGGAACUGAAACAUCUAAGUACCCCGAGGAAAAGAAAUCAACCGAGAUUCCCCCAGUAGCGGCGAGCGAACGGGGAGCAGCCCAGAGCCUGAAUCAGUGUGUGUGUUAGUGGAAGCGUCUGGAAAGGCGCGCGAUACAGGGUGACAGCCCCGUACACAAAAAUGCACAUGCUGUGAGCUCGAUGAGUAGGGCGGGACACGUGGUAUCCUGUCUGAAUAUGGGGGGACCAUCCUCCAAGGCUAAAUACUCCUGACUGACCGAUAGUGAACCAGUACCGUGAGGGAAAGGCGAAAAGAACCCCGGCGAGGGGAGUGAAAAAGAACCUGAAACCGUGUACGUACAAGCAGUGGGAGCACGCUUAGGCGUGUGACUGCGUACCUUUUGUAUAAUGGGUCAGCGACUUAUAUUCUGUAGCAAGGUUAACCGAAUAGGGGAGCCGAAGGGAAACCGAGUCUUAACUGGGCGUUAAGUUGCAGGGUAUAGACCCGAAACCCGGUGAUCUAGCCAUGGGCAGGUUGAAGGUUGGGUAACACUAACUGGAGGACCGAACCGACUAAUGUUGAAAAAUUAGCGGAUGACUUGUGGCUGGGGGUGAAAGGCCAAUCAAACCGGGAGAUAGCUGGUUCUCCCCGAAAGCUAUUUAGGUAGCGCCUCGUGAAUUCAUCUCCGGGGGUAGAGCACUGUUUCGGCAAGGGGGUCAUCCCGACUUACCAACCCGAUGCAAACUGCGAAUACCGGAGAAUGUUAUCACGGGAGACACACGGCGGGUGCUAACGUCCGUCGUGAAGAGGGAAACAACCCAGACCGCCAGCUAAGGUCCCAAAGUCAUGGUUAAGUGGGAAACGAUGUGGGAAGGCCCAGACAGCCAGGAUGUUGGCUUAGAAGCAGCCAUCAUUUAAAGAAAGCGUAAUAGCUCACUGGUCGAGUCGGCCUGCGCGGAAGAUGUAACGGGGCUAAACCAUGCACCGAAGCUGCGGCAGCGACGCUUAUGCGUUGUUGGGUAGGGGAGCGUUCUGUAAGCCUGCGAAGGUGUGCUGUGAGGCAUGCUGGAGGUAUCAGAAGUGCGAAUGCUGACAUAAGUAACGAUAAAGCGGGUGAAAAGCCCGCUCGCCGGAAGACCAAGGGUUCCUGUCCAACGUUAAUCGGGGCAGGGUGAGUCGACCCCUAAGGCGAGGCCGAAAGGCGUAGUCGAUGGGAAACAGGUUAAUAUUCCUGUACUUGGUGUUACUGCGAAGGGGGGACGGAGAAGGCUAUGUUGGCCGGGCGACGGUUGUCCCGGUUUAAGCGUGUAGGCUGGUUUUCCAGGCAAAUCCGGAAAAUCAAGGCUGAGGCGUGAUGACGAGGUACUACGGUGCUGAAGCAACAAAUGCCCUGCUUCCAGGAAAAGCCUCUAAGCAUCAGGUAACAUCAAAUCGUACCCCAAACCGACACAGGUGGUCAGGUAGAGAAUACCAAGGCGCUUGAGAGAACUCGGGUGAAGGAACUAGGCAAAAUGGUGCCGUAACUUCGGGAGAAGGCACGCUGAUAUGUAGGUGAAGUCCCUCGCGGAUGGAGCUGAAAUCAGUCGAAGAUACCAGCUGGCUGCAACUGUUUAUUAAAAACACAGCACUGUGCAAACACGAAAGUGGACGUAUACGGUGUGACGCCUGCCCGGUGCCGGAAGGUUAAUUGAUGGGGU